Molecule: long non-coding RNA, 446 nt
Filed under: Astyanax mexicanus (Mexican tetra)
Lineage: Eukaryota; Metazoa; Chordata; Actinopteri; Characiformes; Acestrorhamphidae
Description: lncRNA (ENSAMXG00005022268.1)
Source: RNAcentral
GCACAUUUGGAAGAUGGGUUUUUGUGUUACUGGUUUUAUGUGUUGAUUUGUAAUGAUAAGUGUGUUUUUUUUUUUACUUUUGCAGCAAUCGAUGAUGUACCCUUUAUGAUUUCUGAGAGGUUUGCUCAGAAAGUCGUCAGAGAAACACAGUCAGUCAAUUUAAUGGGCAUUACCAUCAAAUCCCCACCAGAGAUCGAGGAGGAAGUAAGUAGAGGCCUUGCCGCUCGGGUAGCGCUCCCGUCCAGGGCCAACAAUGCAAAGCGCGCAGUCCCGUGUGGGAUAAUUAAGAGCUUUAGAUGGGCGAAAGACCUUUUCAGUCUUAAUAAAACUGAGCCUGAGAAGACCUGCUCUCACAUUCACACUGUAUACAGAAGCAGAAAAAAAAGUUACAUAUACUAUACAGCAACAUACAGCAAAAACUGAGUAAAAAAAAAAAAACAACUAGG